CGUGAUUAACGCUGAUCUCAGCUACGAUCCAGGAGACAAGGGGAGUAAUUCGUUCCAGCUGUGUCCCCACCUGUUGCCCAUCCUCUUGUUAUCCUGUGUCUUUGCCAGUUUCCCGAAUUACCUCAACUGGUUCCUUUCAAUGUAGAAGUUUACUCUGAGCCCGUUUCGGAUGCCUGAAGUCCUCACCCUGUCUGUAAGGGAGAGGCCAACCAGCCUUCAGAGAAAGUUCAUUUAUGCUACUUGUCUCCGUCAUAUUAUUCUUUGAGUCACUAUUCAGAGCUAUGACCAUAGGUGAGGGUAGGGACAUAGAUGGACAGGUGAAUCAUGACUUCACUUUCAUGCUUGACCCUCUCUUCACUAAACAGACAGAUGCAGCGUCUGCAUCACUUCAUCCAUGUCCACAAUCUCCUGCUGCCCUCACCGGUGAAAAACACCCUGAGAUACCUAAACUUCUCCACUUGGUGCAGCAACUUGUUCCUGACCCUGAGUGGACUUGUCACCUCUUUCCAGCUGAGGACCACAGUUUCAGACCUGGAGGAGAUGUUAAUUAUCAUUCUGCUGUGUCACUGGAGCCACCACCUGAUGUAACCAACAUAAUCACAUCAUCUACAAAAACCAGAGAUGAGCUUCUGAGGACACCAAAGUGCAACCUGAGACUCCUGGGUUCUGGAUCAGCUGGUUUGGGGACCUCUGGAUACUGAGCCCCUGGAUCAGUUGGAUAAGGAAACUGUAGCUCUGGCUGCAAAGGUUCAGGCUCAGGAUGCUCAGGAUUUGCAGUCUCAGACAUGGUCCUGGUGUUGGUAACACUCGGCGUUGACUGAUGAAAAGAAGCAGAAUCGCUGCAGUGAAAACAGGUAUUGAGUUGCUGCAGCGACAAACAGGAGCAGAGCUGCAGUAAUGAAUAACAAAUCAAUGAACAAUGAUAAACAUAAAAUAGCUGUUAGAUUACAGCAUGGUCACAAUCAUUGUUGUACUGCUGAAAUGUACCUUUCACUCUGUGAAUAUAACUUAAAUGUGUUUAGUAACAGUAGUUCAAGAAUUAUCAACUCCAACAUGAACAGCUAAGUUUCCCUCGUGAUGGCAGAAUGACGCAGACAGACUAGCUCAGCAUUUCCCAUCUCUUCAGUUACCUACUGUGUAAAUAUUGUAUUAAUAGAGACACCAUUUUAGUUAAUUCACCCGUGAAUUAACUACUACUCAGUCAGCCCGUACAGCUUUACCUUUUCAGUUUCGAUGGUGCAAGCUAAUAAAUUAUGAAAAGUGCAAUGCAGGCCUCUUACCCUUCUCUGUGUGCUGCAGAUUGCAGCAGUUGUCAAUAGGCCGAUCAGUACAAUUCCAGACCCCAAAGCUGUGAUAAUGGCUACAAGGUUAAUGUGACGUCCUGAAACAGAAGAGUCAAUUUCUACUAAUAAAUUCCUCAAGGAAUUCCGCAAGGAAUCCAGUUCAAAUCUAGUAAAAAAAACUUUGCAGUUAAAAUACAGUUUCUGUAUUUUUUCCUCUUUCUUUUAAACUUUGUAAAUACAAUCCAGUAAU
Oreochromis niloticus (Nile tilapia) is the source of this 1533-nucleotide long non-coding RNA. RefSeq lists it as uncharacterized. The record is from RefSeq and is a predicted model, not a curated record. NCBI's taxonomy places the organism in Eukaryota, Metazoa, Chordata, Actinopteri, Cichliformes, Cichlidae. The transcript has 4 exons.